This is a long non-coding RNA of Leopardus geoffroyi (Geoffroy's cat), 921 nucleotides long. RefSeq lists it as uncharacterized. NCBI's taxonomy places the organism in Eukaryota, Metazoa, Chordata, Mammalia, Carnivora, Felidae. The transcript is spliced from 3 exons. The record is from RefSeq and is a predicted model, not a curated record.
CCGGCUCCCUCCCCAGGCUAAUGAUGCAGGCCUCGCUCCCGGGGGAGGGUGCGGGGAGGAGAUGGCGGCCUGCUUGGGAAUCUACAUCCUUGGCGUUUAUUGAGCGCUUAUUAAGCGCACAGUGCUGACGCUCUUAGGGAGCUAUCUCAGAGCCUCUGGUCCCGAGCGUGGCAGACUGUCCUCAGUUGACCAGGGAGAGAGGAAGGGGGCAGGGGACUGGAGGCAAACGGCGUGGGUUUCUGGACUCGCGGGGGUAGGAUACACCGGAGCUACAUCAGCGUUUCAAAUUAGGAAGGUGUUACUGAGUAUCUGGCGCGUUGCUGAAGGAGCCUUCCUUGUGUUGUUGCUGGGGUUACAAGGACCAUCACUGAGGUGCAACAAGGGGACUUGACAGAUAGGAGAUGGCUGGUGCCAGAGCCAACAUAUGCUUUCUGUACUAAGGCACAGGAACCAGGUGCCUGGCCACCGUUCCUGCUCACCAUUUAGCCUGACCAGUAGCUGUGGCUUUUAACUGCAUUUGUCAGGCAAAGAACAAGUGGAAGCCAUGCAGGAGCUUCGGCAUCACAAGAUGCUCUAGACCCAUCUCACGUAUUCCAGCACUAGAACCAACUUCUCCAAAGAGCUGUCUUUUUGUUGAAGGAUGGUGUUUAGAAACCAACUGAUUGUGGCCAUUAUAACUGGGAUAUCACUGCUUCUAGGCCCUAUCAGUGGACGGAGUAGGAAAUGUAUGUAUGUUUACUAAUCCAUUUAUCCAUACAUGUCUGCAUUUAUUUCUGUACCUGUCUAACUGUAUAUAUAAUUAAAAACAAAACAGCACAUGAGUUCAUACUGAUACUUUCAAUUCCAAUCCAGCUUAUUUAUAACUAUUUGUGCUUAUUUAUAACUUUCUUUGCCAGCGAGAAACCUGGCUUGCUUUACCUA